UACUUCUUCCCUGCAAUCCAUUCUCUCAGGCUCUUAUCUGUAUCCAUAAAAUUCUUUCCUAGUCUCAUUCUGAGCUACAAACCUGGCUCGGUUCCCUUCAUGCUGUGACUCAUUUUUCCCAAACCCCCUGACUCAUGCUGCUUGCUCACUUACGCAACAGCUUAAUCUCUGUAAUUUUCUUCAUAUCUUUAUGAGAAGUACAUAAAUUCACAAGAUGCAUUUCACCAGUACUUUUGUAGAAAAAGUCCAACCCAAACUACCCUUUGUCUUAUUUCAGCCUCUUAAAUCUCUACUCCUCUAGCUCGUACCUAGCUGUGUUCUGAACUAACUCAUAUGUGCCUUACUCUUGGGACUGCAGUGCUUGGCUUGCUGCUCUCUGGUUCUCAACACACUGCAGUUUACUACACUGUUUUCCUGCUCUGUUUGCAUAUUCAUGUGUUCGUAACAGCCAGAAAAUGCCCGUGGGUCCCUUUCUCUAUUCUGGUCUGUAGCAACCCUGCAAGCAGAAUAUUACAGCAGAUCAAGAAGGGGGGCUAGUGACCUUACAGGAUUCAAAUUCUUUCUUCUGUCCCUGCUGAGCAGCACCAGUGGAGCAGCUCCUGAAUGGUUUAUACAAACCUAAACCCAGAAUAACUCCAACCAUGUCAGUGUUGCACUUGUCACUGACUUCAGUGAAGCUGUUCUCAAUGUUUUGAAUGUAAAUGAUAAAUAUUUUGGUUAAUCAGUUUAAAUUUUCUGAAUUCUCAGUAUGAGUGAGACCAGAAAAUGACUCAGUCUAUUUUUCUAAUAGAUACAGCUGAACCAAAAACAUUGCCUCCCACAGAAGCAAUGGCACCAGUGAGUCUGAUAUUAGACAUACAACGAUCUGCACAGCCUCGAAGAAGAGUAUGCCAUGCGGUCUGCAAACUCCACAGCCAAAGGCCCCUACCAGUACAAGCCAUGGCUCAUCCAGACCUGUAGGACUGUGCUCUGCUAAAAGGACAUACUUUGAUAUCAAGCCACAACCACAGGUUAUUAAGUGAAGCAAGCACCGUUCAAAUGACAAUAAUUAAAAUGAUUAUUACAAUUAAAAGUAGUAUGGCUAAUAUUUGUCUAAUACAAGGCCACAAAAACUACUGCCAAGAAUCAACAGAAUUUUCUACCCAUGACAC
Meleagris gallopavo (turkey) is the source of this 1151-nucleotide non-coding RNA. Lineage: Eukaryota; Metazoa; Chordata; Aves; Galliformes; Phasianidae. The record is from RefSeq and is a predicted model, not a curated record.